RNAcentral lists this long non-coding RNA (339 nucleotides) under Pan troglodytes (chimpanzee). RNAcentral's name for it is "long non-coding RNA NONPTRT015749". The record is from RNAcentral. Lineage: Eukaryota; Metazoa; Chordata; Mammalia; Primates; Hominidae.
CCCCAAGAGUAUUUUAAUUUUAAUUCUAAUUUUUUCAAAAUCACGUGGUUUAUUACUGUUAGAUUUGUUAUUCCAGGUUGUAUAUCUAUUGUAUUUUCAGGAAGUUUCAGCUGAUCCUACUGCCACACUCACAGCAGCAGAAGAAAGAAAGGAGAAGGUGCCAAGUCCACACCUCAGUCACCUAGUGGUUUUGACAUCUGGGGAUACGUUGUAUGGGUUGGCAGAAAGAGUGGUAGCCACGGAAUCCUUGGUAUUCUUGGCUGAACAGUUUGAGUUCCUUCAGCCACAUCUGGAUGCUGUGAUGCCUGCAGUCAAAAAGCCCUUUCUUCAGCAGUUCUA